This 395-nucleotide ribosomal RNA is filed under the name uncultured bacterium. Its description in RNAcentral is "partial 16S ribosomal RNA". It matches the Rfam family "Bacterial small subunit ribosomal RNA", at positions 523 to 918 of the family's 1533-position model. The record is from RNAcentral.
AUACGUAGGGUGCAAGCGUUAAUCGGAAUUACUGGGCGUAAAGCGUGCGCAGGCGGAUUUGUAAGACAGAGGUGAAAUCCCCGGGCUUAACCUGGGAACUGCCUUUGAGACUGCCAGGCUGGAGUACGGCAGAGGGGGGUGGAAUUCCGCGUGUAGCAGUGGAAUGCGUAGAUAUGCGGAGGAACACCGAUGGCGAAGGCAAUCCCCUGGGCCUUUACUGACGCGCAUGCACGAAAGCGUGGGGAGCAAACAGGAUUAGAUACCCUGGUAGUCCACGCCCUAAACGAUGUCGACUGGUUGUUGGGUCUUCAUUGACUCAGUAACGAAGCUAACGCGUGAAGUUGACCGCCUGGGGAGUACGGCCGCAAGGUUGAAACUCAAAUGAAUUGGCGGGG